This 252-nucleotide ribosomal RNA is filed under the name uncultured bacterium. Its description in RNAcentral is "partial 16S ribosomal RNA". It matches the Rfam family "Bacterial small subunit ribosomal RNA", at positions 524 to 776 of the family's 1533-position model. The record is from RNAcentral.
UACGUAGGGGGCAAGCGUUGUCCGGAUUUAUUGGGCGUAAAGAGCGUGUAGGCGGCCUGACAAGUCUGCUGUGAAACUCGAGGCUCAACCUCGAGAUGUCGGCGGAAACUGUCUGGCUAGAGUCCGGAAGAGGAGAGUGGAAUUCCUGGUGUAGCGGUGAAAUGCGCAGAUAUCAGGAAGAACACCUAUGGCGAAGGCAGCUCUCUGGGACGGUACUGACGCUGAGACGCGAAAGCGUGGGGAGCGAACAGG